This 464-nucleotide ribosomal RNA is filed under the name uncultured Klebsiella sp. RNAcentral's name for it is "bacterial SSU rRNA". It matches the Rfam family "Bacterial small subunit ribosomal RNA", at positions 338 to 795 of the family's 1533-position model. Lineage: Bacteria; Pseudomonadati; Pseudomonadota; Gammaproteobacteria; Enterobacterales; Enterobacteriaceae. The record is from RNAcentral.
CCUACGGGCGGCUGCAGUGGGGAAUAUUGCACAAUGGGCGCAAGCCUGAUGCAGCCAUGCCGCGUGUGUGAAGAAGGCCUUCGGGUUGUAAAGCACUUUCAGCGGGGAGGAAGGCGGUGAGGUUAAUAACCUCAUCGAUUGACGUUACCCGCAGAAGAAGCACCGGCUAACUCCGUGCCAGCAGCCGCGGUAAUACGGAGGGUGCAAGCGUUAAUCGGAAUUACUGGGCGUAAAGCGCACGCAGGCGGUCUGUCAAGUCGGAUGUGAAAUCCCCGGGCUCAACCUGGGAACUGCAUUCGAAACUGGCAGGCUAGAGUCUUGUAGAGGGGGGUAGAAUUCCAGGUGUAGCGGUGAAAUGCGUAGAGAUCUGGAGGAAUACCGGUGGCGAAGGCGGCCCCCUGGACAAAGACUGACGCUCAGGUGCGAAAGCGUGGGGAGCAAACAGGAUUAGAUACCUGGUAGUC